GACGAACGCUGGCGGCGUGCUUAACACAUGCAAGUCGAACGGGAAGGCCUGCUUUCCCUUGUGGAUUGCGGGUACUCGAGUGGCGAACGGGUGAGUAACACGUGAGCGAUCUGCCCCCAACUUGGGUAUAAGCCUGGGAAACUGGGUCUAAUUCCCGAUAGGACUGCAGGGUGGUGCCUGUGGUGGAAAACGAUUUUCUAGUGGUUGGGGAUGAGCUCGCGGCCUAUCAGCUUGUUGGUGGGGUAAUGGCCUACCAAGGCGGCGACGGGUAGCCGGCCUGAGAGGGUGGACGGCCACAUUGGGACUGAGAUACGGCCCAGACUCCUACGGGAGGCAGCAGUGGGGAAUAUUGCACAAUGGGCGGAAGCCUGAUGCAGCGACGCCGCGUGGGGGAUGACGGCCUUCGGGUUGUAAACUCCUUUCGACCGCGAGGAAGCCACCUGGUUGGAAGGGUGGUGACGGUAGUGGUAGAAGAAGCACCGGCUAACUACGUG
Molecule: ribosomal RNA, 494 nt
Filed under: uncultured bacterium
Lineage: Bacteria
Description: partial 16S ribosomal RNA
Rfam family: Bacterial small subunit ribosomal RNA
Source: RNAcentral